CCUUGACACAGGCUAAACAUCUUUGGAUCUUAAAAUAACUAAGAUUCAGUUCUCACCAUGCCAUAUCUCAUAGGUGUUGUAGAAACAGAUUUAGAGAGAACUCAAUUCCAUAGAAAUAAAGCAUGUCCCUAAAGAAACAACAAUAAAUUAGUGAAGUCCAUCAUGGAUCGGUCCAUAUCUUAUAUGGACCCAUAACUCUUCUUAAUUAUCUCGUUGAGCUG
This 221-nucleotide long non-coding RNA is filed under the name Elaeis guineensis (African oil palm). RNAcentral's name for it is "long non-coding RNA (EGUI_LNC014869)". The record is from RNAcentral. Lineage: Eukaryota; Viridiplantae; Streptophyta; Magnoliopsida; Arecales; Arecaceae.